This is a non-coding RNA of Pelobates cultripes (western spadefoot toad), 282 nucleotides long. NCBI's taxonomy places the organism in Eukaryota, Metazoa, Chordata, Amphibia, Anura, Pelobatidae. The record is from the annotation of a GenBank genome assembly.
GUCCCGUUCCACGCACCAAGUAGACCAGGAGGCCCAAGCUGAAAGGUAACAGCGUCUAGUUCCGGGGGCCCAGGAAUCCCAUAAGAGGUCCUUAGUAGCCUGCGAUAGUCCGCUGACUUGCCAGGAACCCCGGAAAGAGUCCAAGCCACCAGGGGCAGACGGUCUUCCAAGAGAAGUGGGUGAAGAUUCCCUUUGGGAUCCAUGAGCAGGUCCGGAAAGGAUGGUAGGAGUAGAGGGUCCUUGCAGGAGGAGGCCAGGAGAUCCGGGAACCAUGGUUGGCUC